GCCAGCGUAGCUCAGACGGCAGAGCAGCUGAUUCGUAAUCAGCAGGUCAGGAGUUCGAUUCUCCUCGCUGGCUCCA
Molecule: transfer RNA, 76 nt
Filed under: Desulfovibrionales bacterium GWA2_65_9
Lineage: Bacteria; Pseudomonadati; Thermodesulfobacteriota; Desulfovibrionia; Desulfovibrionales
Also listed under: 2 other names
Description: tRNA-Thr
Rfam family: tRNA
About the family: Transfer RNA (tRNA) molecules are approximately 80 nucleotides in length. Their secondary structure includes four short double-helical elements and three loops (D, anti-codon, and T loops).
Source: RNAcentral